GGCCCAGUAGCACAGCGGUUUAGUGCGCCCUGAAUUGAUGUUGCAUAUCCCAGACACCACUAUCAGGAGGACCCUUGUUCGACUCAAGGCUGGGGCA
This is a non-coding RNA of Mycena polygramma, 97 nucleotides long. The record is from the annotation of a GenBank genome assembly. NCBI's taxonomy places the organism in Eukaryota, Fungi, Basidiomycota, Agaricomycetes, Agaricales, Mycenaceae.